Molecule: ribosomal RNA, 491 nt
Filed under: uncultured bacterium
Lineage: Bacteria
Description: partial 16S ribosomal RNA
Rfam family: Bacterial small subunit ribosomal RNA
Source: RNAcentral
AGUGAACGCUGGCGGUAGGCCUAACACAUGCAAGUCGAACGGCAGCACAGUAAGAGCUUGCUCUUACGGGUGGCGAGUGGCGGACGGGUGAGGAAUACAUCGGAAUCUACUUUUUCGUGGGGGAUAACGUAGGGAACUUACGCUAAUAACGCCUACCACCCUCCGGUGGAAGCAGGGGGAUUUUCGACCUUGCCCCGUUGAAUUAGCCGAUGUCGGAUUAGCUUGUUGGCGGGGUAAAGGCCCACCAAGGCGACGAUCCGUAGCUGGUCUGAGAGGAUGAUCAGCCACACUGGAACUGAGACACGGUCCAGACUCCUACGGGAGGCAGCAGUGGGGAAUAUUGGACAAUGGGCGCAAGCCUGAUCCAGCCAUACCGCGUGGGUGAAGAAGGCCUUCGGGUUGUAAAGCCCUUUUGUUGGGAAAGAAAAGCAGCAGGUUAAUACCCCGCUGUUCUGACGGUACCCAAAGAAUAAGCACCGGCUAACUUCGUG